This 217-nucleotide ribosomal RNA is filed under the name uncultured bacterium. RNAcentral describes it as "partial 16S ribosomal RNA". It matches the Rfam family "Bacterial small subunit ribosomal RNA", at positions 1284 to 1500 of the family's 1533-position model. The record is from RNAcentral.
AGUCUCAGUUCGGAUUGAAGGCUGAAAUUCGCCUUCAUGAAGCCGGAAUUGCUAGUAAUGGCAGGUCAGCAUACUGCCGUGAAUACGUUCCCGGGUCUUGUACACACCGCCCGUCACACCAUGGGAGUCGGAAAUGCCCGAAGUCAGUGACCUAACCGAAAGGGAGGAGCUGCCGAAGGUGGAGCCGGUAACUGGGGUGAAGUCGUAACAAGGUAUC